RNAcentral lists this long non-coding RNA (3203 nucleotides) under Hordeum vulgare. Its description in RNAcentral is "long non-coding RNA (HVUL_LNC021292)". The record is from RNAcentral. Lineage: Eukaryota; Viridiplantae; Streptophyta; Magnoliopsida; Poales; Poaceae.
CUAUCCCCUUCCCUCUCCCUCCCGCAGCCUCCCCAGAUCUCAGCGGCGCCCUGAACAGAGGCUGCUCCACCAGCGCCCUGAACAGAGGCUGCUCCACCAGCGCCCCACCCCACCCUCUACUGGCUCCCCCACCCGCUCGACCGGCGCCCCAUCGCAGCCUCGACCGGUGCCCCACCGCAGCCUCGACCGGCGCCCUGUCGAGCCCGCCAAGGAGGGGCCGCCUCGUCCCCACCCGCCGCCGUGCGGGAGGAUGGCGACGCCGGGCGGCGCACACGAGCUCCUCAAGAUGGUCGUCCACGCCCGCGCCGGCGGCACCAUCGCCGCGCGUGGACGCCACCGCCGUCCCUGUUCUACCCCGCCGCGCCGCCCCUGCUGCCUCCGCCCCGGCCGUUGGUGCGGCCGUCGAGAUCCGCCGCCCCUGGCCGGCAUCAGACCGGAUGGACCUCUCCGUCACGCUGGCCCUGAGCUCCCCCACGGAGGUGCGUACGGCCGGCCGGAAACCCACCUCCCUCCCGUUACUCAACGAUGCUUGUUGCUACUGCUGCAUUUACCGUGUCUAGUCGAACUGAAUCCAUCUAUCAGUGCUCUCACAUACAAAAUUUUCUUCGUGCACUAUCCAGCGUCCAGCAGGGAGCAGGCUAUAGUACAGACGUACAAGUUUAAGCAAGUUAGUCUGACCACUUGUCUUUCUAUUUAUUAGAUCUAAUAAAUUUAGAGACUUGUUUGCAGUCAAUUCUAGAUUGUUCAGACAAGAUAAUUUACAAGGUAAUACUUGAAUGAUUGCUUAGGCCAUAUUCACUUAAAGGGAAUUCUUCUUGCACGCUACAGAUGAGGACAUCUAUGUUUGGCACAGCAAGUAGAGAUUGAUGACUCUGGUUGCUUUUGCUGAAGCCGUACCCUUGCUCAGCUGCUGUAACCGAAGAAAAAUGUGAUGCAUGGUCAGCUGUAGAUGUUGAAUGAUGGCAAGGAAAUCCUUCCCCAAGCAUUGUGCUUUAAGCAGCUCAUCAGGGUUAAGGGUUAAUUGGACCCUGAGAAAUUCACCAUGUGAAUUAAUAGGAAGACCCAUGUAGCCGCCACUGUACAGAUUGGUGCAUGCAGAUACACGGAGUGUAGCUUGUGCAUUUGUCCCAUGGCCAGAAAUCUCUUCCAGAGUUGGGACAGAUUUUUGUAGAUGAUGUCGGUCCAGCAAACAUACACAUUCUAGCAAAUACUCCCUCCGUUCCUAAAUAUAAGUCUUUUUAAAGGUUUCACUACAAGACUACAUACGGAUGUAUAUAGACAUAUUUUAGAGCAUAGAUUUACUUGUUUUGCUCCGUAUGUAGUCCUUUAGUGACAUCUUUAAAAAGACUUAUAUUUAGGAACGGAGGGAGUAGUCCGUAGUAAUAAUAUUGCCCAGCAAACGCAUUCCUGAUCCAAGAAAAAACCGCACCUUUUUCAUGGCAGCAAUCUCUGCCGUGGACUUGUCCUUGUUGGGCUGAACCCCGGCUGCCCGCCCGUCGCUUACUGUGCACGUCGCAACAAACGGUACACUCCCACAAAUUGCCGUGGACUUGUCCUUGUUGGGAUAUACCUUGGAUAGUUGAAGAAUUAUCUGAAGUUGUUUAUCUAACGACCAAAACAGUUGUUUAGCUAUGUGAAUUGUUUUUUUUUCACCUGAUAAUCCAUAAUUAUGAGUUUGCCUAGCAAGUAUUGCACAUUUUCUCUUGAACAUUCUCAAAUUUGAUAAUCUUGUUACUUCUAAAUUAUUCAGAGUUGGCAUAUGCUGAAAGAAACACUUUGAGAAGAAGACAAAUUACACUCUCGUUACUAACCAUGACAUUUCGUUGGUAAGCCUUAUGGAAUCUUGUUCUAAGCACUAAGUUUACAAGAAUAUUUCGAGGUCCUCUGAGUUGCUUAUUUACUUAGUUAACAUAAGUUCUUUUUCUCCUGAUUACUUUUCUGAAGGAAGAGAUUUUGUUCUCGGUGAUUGGGCAUAGUGAUUUUGAUGCAUCGCCUGAUCUCAUUCUCACACAGGAUAUCAAUGGGGUGAAUGCCGGUAGGAGAAACUUGCACAUUGUUCAUUUUUUACUUUAUGUUUGUCCAAAUCAUUUGCCAAGCAAAGCAAUGGCAAUUUCUGUGAUAUAUCACGCUCAUUAACACUGAAUAUUUGUUCACCUGCUACUGUAUCUUGAGAAUACGCAUAUGAUAGCUUAGUAUGACUCAUUUGGUGGUUGAUGAAAAUCAUAUACUAGUCAGAUUGUAGGAGGUUUGUGAUUAGUUGUGCCAUUCACUUUUAGAAAUAGAACUGAGAGAUGAAACCCAUCUUUCGCGAAUUAAAACUGAAUGUGCAAGUUUUUAUUAUAGCAACAACAAGGUUUAAGUUCUGAUUUUGUAGAUAAAAAAUAAUUGCCGACUGAAAAAAUUUCCUCCCAGAUACAAGUGUAUCUGGUGGUUGAUUAAACUCAUCAUUAUAAUCCUGUAAUUUUAGAGUAGUGUAAUUUUGAAAAAAAUACAAUGCCAAAGUCGGUCGAAGCGAUGUCAUAUGAAAUCUGGCUUCCAUGGUUUAUACUAAAGGCAUCAUUUUUCAGGUGGUAUAUACAAUUAUACACAACUCAAUUUAUUCUAGAGAAUCAUAUUUCAAAGCUGCCUGAGCUCACCACUAUCCUUGCUUCUACAAGCUAACCAACUUAAUUUUAUCUGUCUUUUGUGUUGUAUUCUUGUCAUUUAUUUAGAUAGAUGUUUCUGUCCUUAAUUAUGUGGAAGGUCGUGAUGAAUGCACCUACAUCUGGUUCCACUUUCUUAGACAAAUUUGUGCAAAAUGUUUUCAGGUACUCAACCUAUUGAUGCACAUGGACAUGAUGACUCUCUAGCGUUUAUGGACCAACCAACCUGUAAUCAUGGACCUUAUUGUCUUGUAGACCAUUUGGUGUUUCGAGUGUUUUGGAGCUUGCACUUUGUGCAUGUAGAUACAAACUUGUGUGUUCUGGACCAUUUGAAGUCUCUCAUAGUAACCAAUAGUCCUUAUCUUUUUGUGACUUGUGUGUUCUAGAUGAUUGUUAAGAUGGUCAACUAUGCUUCCUCUAGGUUAAUUUGUUUGUCAACUUGCGUUCAACGUAUGUGCAUGUUUAUAAACAUAUUUUCAUUCUGGUGUAAUAUGUGUUUAUCUUGAACCUUCUUGUGGGUGUGAGGAUAAUAAUUGAAUAUUUUUAGAGCUGGUAGUAUAA